Molecule: non-coding RNA, 571 nt
Organism: Pelodiscus sinensis (Chinese soft-shelled turtle)
Lineage: Eukaryota; Metazoa; Chordata; Testudines; Trionychidae
Source: RefSeq, a predicted model, not a curated record
GCCGCGGCGCCUCCCACUCACCCCGGCUCUCCCGGCGGCCGCCCCUAGCUGGGCUCCAUGGAGCUCGCGCUCUGUCACGCCGCGGCACCGGGGCGCUGCGCCUGCUCCGGCCGGGCGGAGGGGGGCUCCUGCGGCGCUGUCAGCCGCCGCCGCCCGACUGGCGUGGCCGAGCCACGAGUCCCUUCUGCCCCUGGAUCUGCGUGGGUGGAUCCCGGUUUCUUCGCACCAGCGGCUUCAGCUGGGGUCUGCCUCCACUGAGACUGUGGUAAGAGGUGGCCUGGCCCGGACGUGGCAACCAAAUUCAUACACUGGGCGCCUUGAAUGGGGGACACCGGAUUUUUAACCCUACUGUUUACAGUGCAGUCCUGACAGCCUCGCAACAGCUGAGAUACACCCACCACCAAAACCAAAGCCCUGGGUAAACUGCAGUAUACUGACUUAAAUUCUGUGACAUGAUGUCUGGAAACAACAGCAUGUGGGAUAGGGCAAAUAUGAAUUGAAUAAUAGAUUCUUUUAAAUUUAAAAAUGAUGGAGUUUGAUGAAUCAAGUAUGAAUAUAAAUAAUACAUGCA